RNAcentral lists this ribosomal RNA (529 nucleotides) under uncultured bacterium. RNAcentral describes it as "bacterial SSU rRNA". It matches the Rfam family "Bacterial small subunit ribosomal RNA", at positions 335 to 879 of the family's 1533-position model. The record is from RNAcentral.
ACACCUACGGGUGGCAGCAGUAGGGAAUAUUGCACAAUGGGCGAAAGCCUGAUGCAGCAACGCCGCGUGAGCGAUGAAGGCCUUCGGGUCGUAAAGCUCUUUUCUGGGAGAUGAGAAAGGACAGUAUCCCAGGAAUAAGUCUCGGCUAACUACGUGCCAGCAGCCGCGGUAACACGUAGGAGGCGAGCGUUAUCCGGAUUCACUGGGCGUAAAGCGCGUGCAGGCGGUUCGGUAAGUUGGGCGUGAAAUCUCCCGGCUCAACUGGGAGGGGUCGUUCAAUACUACCGGACUUGAGAGCGAUAGAGGAAAAUGGAAUUCCCGGUGUAGUGGUGAAAUGCGUAGAUAUCGGGAGGAACACCAGUGGCGAAAGCGAUUUUCUGGAUCGUUUCUGACGCUCAGACGCGAAAGCUAGGGUAGCAAACGGGAUUAGAGACCCCGGUAGUCCUAGCUGUAAACGAUGUGAACUUGGCGUUGGUGGCUUAAACUCCAUCAGUGCCGAAGCUAACGCGAUAAGUUCACCGCCUGGGGA